RNAcentral lists this ribosomal RNA (496 nucleotides) under uncultured bacterium. Its description in RNAcentral is "partial 16S ribosomal RNA". It matches the Rfam family "Bacterial small subunit ribosomal RNA", at positions 29 to 507 of the family's 1533-position model. The record is from RNAcentral.
AUGAACGCUGGCGGCGUGCCUAAUACAUGCAAGUCGAGCGAACAGACGAGGAGCUUGCUCCUCUGACGUUAGCGGCGGACGGGUGAGUAACACGUGGAUAACCUACCUAUAAGACUGGGAUAACUUCGGGAAACCGGAGCUAAUACCGGAUAAUAUAUUGAACCGCAUGGUUCAAUAGCGAAAGACGGUUUUGCUGUCACUUAUAGAUGGAUCCGCGCCGCAUUAGCUAGUUGGUAGGGUAACGGCUUACCAAGGCAACGAUGCGUAGCCGACCUGAGAGGGUGAUCGGCCACACUGGAACUGAGACACGGUCCAGACUCCUACGGGAGGCAGCAGUAGGGAAUCUUCCGCAAUGGGCGAAAGCCUGACGGAGCAACGCCGCGUGAGUGAUGAAGGUCUUCGGAUCGUAAAACUCUGUUAUUAGGGAAGAACAAAUGUGUAAGUAACUAUGCACGUCUUGACGGUACCUAAUCAGAAAGCCACGGCUAACUACGUG